Molecule: ribosomal RNA, 465 nt
Filed under: uncultured bacterium
Lineage: Bacteria
Description: partial 16S ribosomal RNA
Rfam family: Bacterial small subunit ribosomal RNA
Source: RNAcentral
CCUACGUGUGGCAGCAGUGGGGAAUAUUGCGCAAUGGGCGAAAGCCUGACGCAGCGACGCCGCGUGAGGGAUGAAGGUCUUCGGAUCGUAAACCUCUGUCAGCAGGGAAGAACGGUCACUGUGCUAAUCAGCAGUGAAUUGACGGUACCUGCAAAGGAAGCACCGGCUAACUCCGUGCCAGCAGCCGCGGUAAUACGGAGGGUGCGAGCGUUAAUCGGAAUUACUGGGCGUACAGCGCUCGUAGGCGGUAUGGCAAGUCAAGGGUGAAAUCCCCGCGCUCAACGUGGGAACUGCGUUUGAAACGGGCAAACUGGAGUGUGUGAGAGGAUAGUGGAAUUCCAGGUGUAGGAGUGAAAUCCGUAGAUAUCUGGAGGAACAUCAGUGGCGAAGGCGACUAUCUGGCACAUAACUGACGCUGAGGAGCGAAAGCGUGGGUAGCAAACAGGAUUAGAUACCCCAGUAGUC